Molecule: ribosomal RNA, 498 nt
Filed under: uncultured bacterium
Lineage: Bacteria
Description: partial 16S ribosomal RNA
Rfam family: Bacterial small subunit ribosomal RNA
Source: RNAcentral
AUUGAACGCUGGCGGCAUGCCUUACACAUGCAAGUCGAACGGUAACAGGUCUUCGGAUGCUGACGAGUGGCGAACGGGUGAGUAAUACAUCGGAACGUGCCUAGUAGUGGGGGAUAACUACUCGAAAGAGUGGCUAAUACCGCAUGAGAUCUACGGAUGAAAGCAGGGGAUCGCAAGACCUUGUGCUACUAGAGCGGCCGAUGGCAGAUUAGGUAGUUGGUGGGAUAAAAGCUUACCAAGCCGACGAUCUGUAGCUGGUCUGAGAGGACGAUCAGCCACACUGGGACUGAGCCACGGCCCAGACUCCUACGGGAGGCAGCAGUGGGGAAUUUUGGACAAUGGGCGAAAGCCUGAUCCAGCAAUGCCGCGUGCAGGAUGAAGGCCUUCGGGUUGUAAACUGCUUUUGUACGGAACGAAAAGCCCCGGGUUAAUACCCUGGGGUCAUGACGGUACCGUAAGAAUAAGCACCGGCUAACUCCGUGCCAGCCGCCGCUGUAA